RNAcentral lists this small RNA (592 nucleotides) under Histoplasma capsulatum. Its description in RNAcentral is "hypothetical RNA". RNAcentral also lists the same sequence under 1 other name. The record is from RNAcentral. Lineage: Eukaryota; Fungi; Ascomycota; Eurotiomycetes; Onygenales; Ajellomycetaceae.
AACCCCCCGACGCCAUUGAUACGAGGCCCAUCUUUAGUUGACGCGGGUUUACCCUUUGUAUUCUUCGUGCGUUCGAAAAAGUAGAAAAUAAUUCUGGGUUGCUUUUUACCUUUUUGGAUAACAGCGCCUUUGCGGUGUUCAUCUCUCUCAGCUCACUCUGCGUCACACAUAAACGCUCUCCACAAACAUCAUCUUGGGCCAGCAUUAAUAGUUCUUCGUCAUUAACCACCAUUUACAUGCUAUCUAGACUCUAGAUUCACCCCAUUUUUCAGCUCGAAGCGCCCCCAGAAAUUCCCAUCAUCGUGAUAUCAGCUACCCGGUUUUGACUAGCAUCCACCACCCUAACCAUCACCAAUGAUUGUUUGUUACCUCCACACCUGGAAGGGAAAUGAAUGGACACCCGAAGCCCGGCUCCGAUUCUCGGGAAUUUACUUAAGUGGACGGCAACCCGCUCCGUUGGCUCAUCUCUGUCAUUAAACCAGAACAGUUGACACCGCACGCCCUUGAAAGGCAACCUCCCUUGAAUCGUGCGUUCAAAAUGGGAAAAAGACAACGGGGGGAUUGAAAGAGAUGAUAUGCAGACAUAGAAGAC